RNAcentral lists this ribosomal RNA (375 nucleotides) under Triticum aestivum (bread wheat). RNAcentral describes it as "partial small subunit ribosomal RNA". Lineage: Eukaryota; Viridiplantae; Streptophyta; Magnoliopsida; Poales; Poaceae. The record is from RNAcentral.
AUGAAGGUCGAAGAAGCAUUGGGAGAUCCAGAUUGGAUAAAUGCUAUGCAUGAAGAGCUGCACAACUUUGAGAGAAAUCAAGUUUGGACAUUGGUUGACAAGCCCGACAACAACCACAACGUCAUCGGUACCAAAUGGGUGUUUCACAACAAGCAAGAUGAAGAUGGACAUGUAGUUCGCAACAAAGCACGUCUCGUUGCCCAAGGUUACACACAAGUCGAAGGUAUGGACUAUGGUGAGACUUAUGCUCCCGUUGCUAGACUUGAGUCCAUUCGCAUCUUACUUUCAUAUGCUAAUCACCGUGAUAUCACCUUGUACCAAAUGGACAUUAAAAGUGCUUUUCUAAAUGGUGAAAUAGAGGAGGAUGUUUAUUAA